Molecule: non-coding RNA, 74 nt
Filed under: Mycoplasmatota bacterium
Lineage: Bacteria; Bacillati; Mycoplasmatota
Description: Tenericutes bacterium c-di-GMP sequence
Rfam family: c-di-GMP-I riboswitch aptamer
About the family: GEMM was predicted in a large-scale screen for bacterial structured RNA regulatory elements.
Source: RNAcentral
UGAUAAUAUUGGCAAAACUAGGGAAACCUAGUGACGCAAAGCUAUAGGGCCCUACGGGGUAGCCAGUUGCUCUC